GUCCACGCUGUAAACGAUGUCAACUUGGAGUCUGUGACAUUGAGCGUGGGCUCCGAAGCUAACGCGAUAAGUUGACCGCCUGGGGAGUACGGCCGCAAGGUUAAAACUCAAAUGAAUUGACGGGGGCCCGCACAAGCGGUGGAGCAUGUGGUUUAAUUCGAUGCAACGCGAAGAACCUUACCUGGCCUUGACAUGUCUGGAAUCCUGUAGAGAUACGGGAGUGCCUUCGGGAAUCAGAACACAGGUGCUGCAUGGCUGUCGU
This 262-nucleotide ribosomal RNA is filed under the name uncultured bacterium. Its description in RNAcentral is "partial 16S ribosomal RNA". It matches the Rfam family "Bacterial small subunit ribosomal RNA", at positions 793 to 1055 of the family's 1533-position model. The record is from RNAcentral.